Long non-coding RNA from Homo sapiens (human), 831 nucleotides. RefSeq annotates it as IGSF21 antisense RNA 1. The record is from RefSeq and is a predicted model, not a curated record. The transcript has 8 exons. NCBI's taxonomy places the organism in Eukaryota, Metazoa, Chordata, Mammalia, Primates, Hominidae.
UACAAUGAGCUCACAUCCAGCGGCAUGCCCAGGGACUGGCAGAGAGCCAGCAUCCUACAAAUCCACAGAAUACUACACAGCAAUAAAAAGGGAUGAACGAGUGGUCCGUGUAACCACAUGGCUAAAUCUCCAAAGCAUCAUGCCAAGUGAACAAAGCCAGACCCAAAAGACACAAACUGUAUGCUUCCACUGGAAAGGCCAUGUGAAGUCCCAGUGAGAAGGCGGCCAUCUACAAGUCAGGAGGAGAGCCCUCCCCAGAACCCGACCCUGCUGGCAGCCUGAUCUCAGACUUCCAGCCUCCAGAACUCCUGUAAGCAUGGCUGCAAGGUGGCUGCUGUGGUUCCAGCCCUCAACUGCAGACACAAUCCUGUCCAGGGGACAAGAAAAGGAACUAUUUCUUCCCAGCCUGGAAGAAUCAUGGACAGGAGGGCGUGUGCCCAGCCAAGUGAGAUUUCCUCAGCCUUCAUCAGAACCGGGAUAGCAGUGUGCUUUAAAGCAUGGACUCCAGAGUCAGGCAGUGCGCAUCUGACUGCCAGUGAGAACUCCCUACCCUGGGCUGGGGGCAGGGGGCUUCAGCCAUCAGCAAAGACACUCGCUAACUCGGCCACCUGUGCCGCCAUCCUCACAUGGGGCGGAAGCAGCCAGGGUAAAGACGGUUCCUGUUUCCACAACAGAGUCUCCACGCUGCCUCCCACUUUCAAACCAGAAACUCUCGAGUAGACAGAGAUGCCUUGUGAUCCAAUGAAGCCUGGCCCUGCCCAAAGAUCACCACUCUGCCCAUCCUAGGGGAUCCAGAAAUGCUUCUGAAUUUGUCCUCUGAGGACCUGGACC